This 87-nucleotide transfer RNA is filed under the name Rhodospirillales bacterium. Its description in RNAcentral is "tRNA-Leu". It matches the Rfam family "tRNA". Rfam says of the family: Transfer RNA (tRNA) molecules are approximately 80 nucleotides in length. The record is from RNAcentral. RNAcentral also lists the same sequence under 1 other name. Lineage: Bacteria; Pseudomonadati; Pseudomonadota; Alphaproteobacteria; Rhodospirillales.
GCGGGCGUGGCGGAACUGGUAGACGCAAGGGACUUAAAAUCCCUUGAGCUUCGGCUCGUGUGGGUUCGAGUCCCACCGCCCGCACCA